GGGGAUGUAGCUCAGUGGCAGAGCAUCUGCUUUGUUUGCAGAAGGUCCCAGGUUCAAUCCCUGGCAGCCUCU
Hemicordylus capensis (graceful crag lizard) is the source of this 72-nucleotide non-coding RNA. Lineage: Eukaryota; Metazoa; Chordata; Lepidosauria; Squamata; Cordylidae. The record is from the annotation of a RefSeq genome assembly.